AUUGAACGCUGGCGGCAUGCUUUACACAUGCAAGUCGAACGGUAACAGGCCUCCGGGUGCUGACGAGUGGCGAACGGGUGAGUAAUGCAUCGGAACGUGCCCAGUCGUGGGGGAUAACUCCGCGAAAGCUUAGCUAAUACCGCAUGCGAUCUGUGGAUGAAAGCGGGGGACCAUACAGCAUUGUUCGGUCUCGCCCCUCUGUAUCAGCCGAUGUCAGAUUAGGUAGUUGGUGGGGUAAAGGCCUACCAAGCCGACGAUCUGUAGCUGGUCUGAGAGGACGACCAGCCACACUGGGACUGAGACACGGCCCAGACUCCUACGGGAGGCAGCAGUGGGGAAUUUUGGACAAUGGGCGCAAGCCUGAUCCAGCAAUGCCGCGUGCAGGAAGAAGGCCUUCGGGUUGUAAACCGCUUUUGUACGGAACGAAAAGGCUCUGGCUAAUACCUGGGGCUGAUGACGGUACCGUAAGAAUAAGCACCGGCUAACUACGUG
RNAcentral lists this ribosomal RNA (492 nucleotides) under uncultured bacterium. RNAcentral describes it as "partial 16S ribosomal RNA". It matches the Rfam family "Bacterial small subunit ribosomal RNA", at positions 30 to 507 of the family's 1533-position model. The record is from RNAcentral.